AGUGAAAUGGGUGGUGCGCCGAGCUCGAGAAGCUGGAGUGAAACGGGUGUGCUGCACUGAGCUCAAGAAUGUGGAGUGCAUGAUUGUGCAGCUUAGGGGAGGAAAAGGGAUUAGUUGUUGGUGGCUUAAGAAGAAAAGGAAGAUUAUGCACGAUGAGGAUUUUUGAUGCAACAAGAUUUGAGCUCAAGUAAUAGUUUUGCAAUAUUUGAAAAUAUGUUUUGAAAAUAGGUUUUGAAGUUUUGAAUUUGAGUGAGUUUGAGUUUGAAUUUUCAGGAUGUUACAUACAUCUUCUUUUGUUAGGCUGUUAAGUUUCC
RNAcentral lists this long non-coding RNA (314 nucleotides) under Setaria viridis. RNAcentral's name for it is "long non-coding RNA (SVIR_LNC000533)". Lineage: Eukaryota; Viridiplantae; Streptophyta; Magnoliopsida; Poales; Poaceae. The record is from RNAcentral.